GUGAGGAAUAUUGGUCAAUGGGCGAGAGCCUGAACCAGCCAAGUCGCGUGAAGGAAGAAGGAUCUAUGGUUCGUAAACUUCUUUUGCAGGGGAAUAAAGUGCAGGACGUGUUCUGUUUUGUAUGUACCCUGAGAAUAAGGAUCGGCUAACUCCGUGCCAGCAGCCGCGGUAAUACGGAGGAUCCGAGCGUUAUCCGGAUUUAUUGGGUUUAAAGGGUGCGUAGGUGGUUUGAUAAGUCAGCGGUGAAAGUUUGCAGCUUAACUGUAAAAAUGCCGUUGAAACUGUCGGACUUGAGUGUAAAUGAGGUAGGCGGAAUGCGUGGUGUAGCGGUGAAAUGCAUAGAUAUCACGCAGAACUCCGAUUGCGAAGGCAGCUUACUAAGCUACAACUGACACUGAAGCACGAAAGCGUGGGGAUCAAACAGGAUUAGAUACCCGAGUAGUCC
This 445-nucleotide ribosomal RNA is filed under the name uncultured bacterium. RNAcentral describes it as "partial 16S ribosomal RNA". It matches the Rfam family "Bacterial small subunit ribosomal RNA", at positions 354 to 796 of the family's 1533-position model. The record is from RNAcentral.